UUUAAAGUCUAAUCUGCCCUAUGAGGAGUUAAAUGGCCGCGGUACCCUGACCGUGCAAAGGUAGCAUAAUAAUUAGUUUUUUAAUUGAAAGCUGGAAUGAACGAUUGGACGAGAAAAUAACUGUCUCAAUUUAAUUUUUUUUUAGAAUUUUAUCUUUAAGUAAGAAAGCUUAAAUUUAAUUAAAAGACGAGAAGACCCUAUAGAGUUUUAUAUUUAAUUUAUUAUUGGUUUUUAAGUAUAGUUUUAUUAAUAUUAAUUUAAAUAUUCGGUUGGGGCGAUAGAGAAAUAUUAUUAACUUUUUUUACUUUUAUACCAUUAAUUUAUGAUUAAAUGAUCCAUUAAUUAUGAUUAAAAGAAUAAGUUACCUUAGGGAUAACAGCGUAAUUUUUUUUUAGAGUUCUUAUCGAAAGAAAAGAUUGCGACCUCGAUGUUGGAUUAAAAUGAAUAUUUGGUGUAGAAGCUAAAUAAUUAGGUCUGUUCGACCUUUGAAAUUUUACAUGAUCUGAGUUUAAACCGGCGUAAGCCAGGUUGGUUUCUAUCUUUAAUUUAUUUAAAUAUCUUAGUACGAAAGGACCAGAUAUUUAUAAUAAUUAUUUAAUUUUGAAUUGUAUUAAG
This 615-nucleotide ribosomal RNA is filed under the name Maladera iridescens. RNAcentral's name for it is "partial 16S large subunit ribosomal RNA". It matches the Rfam family "Bacterial large subunit ribosomal RNA", at positions 1844 to 2763 of the family's 2925-position model. Lineage: Eukaryota; Metazoa; Arthropoda; Insecta; Coleoptera; Scarabaeidae. The record is from RNAcentral.